UACGUAGGGUGCAAGCGUUAAUCGGAAUUACUGGGCGUGAAGCGUGCGCAGGCGGUGAUGUAAGACAGAUGUGAAAUCCCCGGGCUCAACCUGGGAACUGCAUUUGUGACUGCAUCGCUGGAGUACGGCAGAGGGGGAUGGAAUUCCGCGUGUAGCAGUGAAAUGCGUAGAUAUGCGGAGGAACACCGAUGGCGAAGGCAAUCCCCUGGGCCUGUACUGACGCUCAUGCACGAAAGCGUGGGGAGCAAACAGG
Molecule: ribosomal RNA, 253 nt
Filed under: uncultured bacterium
Lineage: Bacteria
Description: partial 16S ribosomal RNA
Rfam family: Bacterial small subunit ribosomal RNA
Source: RNAcentral